ACCCACAUAGUCUAGUGGUCAAGACACCUUGAAAUCAUAUGAAUUGGAUUGCUAUCGGAUUUCAGGGAGACGGGAGUUCGAUUCUUCCUGUGGAUA
Rhodocollybia butyracea is the source of this 96-nucleotide non-coding RNA. The record is from the annotation of a GenBank genome assembly. NCBI's taxonomy places the organism in Eukaryota, Fungi, Basidiomycota, Agaricomycetes, Agaricales, Omphalotaceae.